RNAcentral lists this long non-coding RNA (303 nucleotides) under Nicotiana benthamiana. RNAcentral's name for it is "long non-coding RNA (NBEN_LNC002345)". Lineage: Eukaryota; Viridiplantae; Streptophyta; Magnoliopsida; Solanales; Solanaceae. The record is from RNAcentral.
AAGAAGAAAUCAGGGACAAGAUUUGGAAGUGAAGGAAGGAUAAUGGAAAAAGCACUGAAAGAGCAAACUAUAAUUAAGAAAAAUGGAAAGGAAGGGGCCAGUGUUAUAAAUAGCGCUCGCCUCAGCACUAACAGCGUGAGGCGAGGCGAGGCGUGGGUUUGUCGCUUCAGAGCUUCUGUUGCGAUGCGAUUUCAAAUAGCGCUAGCUUCAGGGGUUGUGGCGUGAGGCGACUGUUUGCGAGAAGCGACUGUAGCGUUGCUAUUUUAAAAAGAAAAAAGAGAAAGGGAGAAGACUUAAAGUCGG